GACGAACGCUGGCGGCGUGCUUAACACAUGCAAGUCGAACGGAAAGGCCCUGCUUUUGUGGGGUGCUCGAGUGGCGAACGGGUGAGUAACACGUGAGUAACCUGCCCUUGACUUUGGGAUAACUUCAGGAAACUGGGGCUAAUACCGGAUAGGAGCUCCUGCUGCAUGGUGGGGGUUGGAAAGUUUCGGCGGUUGGGGAUGGACUCGCGGCUUAUCAGCUUGUUGGUGGGGUAGUGGCUUACCAAGGCUUUGACGGGUAGCCGGCCUGAGAGGGUGACCGGCCACAUUGGGACUGGGAUACGGCCCAGACUCCUACGGGAGGCAGCAGGGGGGAAUAUUGCACAAUGGGCGGAAGCCUGAUGCAGCAACGCCGCGUGCGGGAUGACGGCCUUCGGGUUGUAAACCGCUUUCGCCUGUGACGAAGCGGGGGUGACGGUAAUGGGUAAAGAAGCACCGGCUAACUACGUG
This 468-nucleotide ribosomal RNA is filed under the name uncultured bacterium. Its description in RNAcentral is "partial 16S ribosomal RNA". It matches the Rfam family "Bacterial small subunit ribosomal RNA", at positions 28 to 507 of the family's 1533-position model. The record is from RNAcentral.